GACGAACGCUGGCGGCGUGCUUAACACAUGCAAGUCGAACGGUAAGGCCCUUCGGGGUACACGAGUGGCGAACGGGUGAGUAACACGUGGGUGAUCUGCCCUGCACUUCGGGAUAAGCCUGGGAAACUGGGUCUAAUACCGGAUAGGACUCCUGGCUUCAUGGUUGGGGGUGGCAAGAUUUUGCGGUGUGGGAUGGGCCCGCGGCCUAUCAGCUUGUUGGUGGGGUAAUGGCCUACCAAGGCGACGACGGGUAGCCGGCCUGAGAGGGUGACCGGUCACACUGGGACUGAGAUACGGCCCAGACUCCUACGGGAGGCAGCAAUGGGGAAUAUUGCACAAUGGGCGCAAGCCUGAUGCAGCGACGCCGCGUGAGGGAUGACGGCCUUCGGGUUGUAAACCUCUUUCAGCUAUGACGAAGCGCAAGUGACGGUAGUAGCAGAAGAAGGACCGGCCAACUACGUGCCAGCCGCCGCGGUAA
This 478-nucleotide ribosomal RNA is filed under the name uncultured bacterium. RNAcentral's name for it is "partial 16S ribosomal RNA". It matches the Rfam family "Bacterial small subunit ribosomal RNA", at positions 28 to 523 of the family's 1533-position model. The record is from RNAcentral.